UUUUUGCGUGAGGGAUGGUAGUGGAAAUCCUUUUAUCAUGUAGCGCUAGCGGAAUGAAUAAAAGAUUGCAACGUAUAGCCCGACCCUUG
Molecule: small RNA, 89 nt
Filed under: Flavobacterium gillisiae
Lineage: Bacteria; Pseudomonadati; Bacteroidota; Flavobacteriia; Flavobacteriales; Flavobacteriaceae
Also listed under: 1 other name
Description: Flavo-1 RNA
Rfam family: Flavo-1 RNA
Source: RNAcentral